Molecule: ribosomal RNA, 1423 nt
Filed under: bacterium
Lineage: Bacteria
Description: bacterial SSU rRNA
Rfam family: Bacterial small subunit ribosomal RNA
Source: RNAcentral
CGGGGGGGGGGGCUUACACAUGCAGUCGAACGAUGAUGCCCAGCUUGCUGGGCGGAUUAGUGGCGAACGGGUGAGUAAUACGUGAGUAACCUGCCCUUGACUCUGGGAUAAGCCUGGGAAACUGGGUCUAAUACUGGAUACUACUUCCUGCCGCAUGGUGGGUGGUGGAAAGGGUUUUACUGGUUUUGGAUGGGCUCACGGCCUAUCAGCUUGUUGGUGGGGUAAUGGCUCACCAAGGCGACGACGGGUAGCCGGCCUGAGAGGGUGACCGGCCACACUGGGACUGAGACACGGCCCAGACUCCUACGGGAGGCAGCAGUGGGGAAUAUUGCACAAUGGGCGGAAGCCUGAUGCAGCGACGCCGCGUGAGGGAUGACGGCCUUCGGGUUGUAAACCUCUUUCAGUAGGGAAGAAGCGAAAGUGACGGUACCUGCAGAAGAAGCGCCGGCUAACUACGUGCCAGCAGCCGCGGUAAUACGUAGGGCGCAAGCGUUGUCCGGAAUUAUUGGGCGUAAAGAGCUCGUAGGCGGUUUGUCGCGUCUGCUGUGAAAGCCCGGGGCUCAACCCCGGGUCUGCAGUGGGUACGGGCAGACUAGAGUGCAGUAGGGGAGACUGGAAUUCCUGGUGUAGCGGUGAAAUGCGCAGAUAUCAGGAGGAACACCGAUGGCGAAGGCAGGUCUCUGGGCUGUUACUGACGCUGAGGAGCGAAAGCAUGGGGAGCGAACAGGAUUAGAUACCCUGGUAGUCCAUGCCGUAAACGUUGGGCACUAGGUGUGGGGGACAUUCCACGUUUUCCGCGCCGUAGCUAACGCAUUAAGUGCCCCGCCUGGGGAGUACGGCCGCAAGGCUAAAACUCAAAGGAAUUGACGGGGGCCCGCACAAGCGGCGGAGCAUGCGGAUUAAUUCGAUGCAACGCGAAGAACCUUACCAAGGCUUGACAUUCACCGGACCGCCUCAGAGAUGGGGUUUCCCUUCGGGGCUGGUGGACAGGUGGUGCAUGGUUGUCGUCAGCUCGUGUCGUGAGAUGUUGGGUUAAGUCCCGCAACGAGCGCAACCCUCGUUCUAUGUUGCCAGCACGUGAUGGUGGGGACUCAUAGGAGACUGCCGGGGUCAACUCGGAGGAAGGUGGGGAUGACGUCAAAUCAUCAUGCCCCUUAUGUCUUGGGCUUCACGCAUGCUACAAUGGCCGGUACAAAGGGUUGCGAUACUGUGAGGUGGAGCUAAUCCCAAAAAGCCGGUCUCAGUUCGGAUUGAGGUCUGCAACUCGACCUCAUGAAGUCGGAGUCGCUAGUAAUCGCAGAUCAGCAACGCUGCGGUGAAUACGUUCCCGGGCCUUGUACACACCGCCCGUCAAGUCACGAAAGUUGGUAACACCCGAAGCCGGUGGCCUAACCCCUUGUGGGAGGGAGCCGUCGAAAGGGGG